GGUGAGCAUCUGACAGCCUGGAGCAGCACCCCACACCCCCAGGGGAGCAUCCGACAGCUUGGAGCAGCACCCCACACCCCCAGGGGAGCAUCUGACAGCUGGGAGCAGCACCCCACACCCCCAGGGGAGCAUCCGACAGCGUGGACAAGUCCUGCCUCCAGGGUGAAGAGGCAGAGGGCAUGGGGGAGGCGCAGCAUCGGCCCACCUCCUGGAUGCGCAAGUUCACAGGCAUGAUGGGGCGAGGGGCUCCUGCUCCUACCAUCACUCCCACACGCUAGCCCUCCGACAUCCUGGCUGACUUUCCCUGCCUCUGGCCCUGUGGCCCUGGACAGAGCGGGAGGAAGGGACAGGAUCCCAUGGUACCCCUUGGAGGAGGUUCCAGCACCUACCUGUAGGCUGGAGGAACCACUGUUCAGCCGCAUCUCUCCCGCCCCACCUGCAUUCACUCAAGGUUGAUGGGAGCACUGUGGGGGGAGACAGGCAGGGGAGGGGCCAGGCAGCACCUGGCACAUCCCCAGGGUGCCUCCUCUGAUCCCCAGGAGGGGCAGCACCCACCCUCCUCUUUUUCCAAUUUGUUUUUAUUGUGGUUAAAUAUACAUAACAUUAACUUUUACUCUCUUAAUUAUCUUUAUGUGUACAGUGUGGUGGCAUUAAAUACAUUCCUCAUGUU
Molecule: non-coding RNA, 670 nt
Organism: Macaca mulatta (Rhesus monkey)
Lineage: Eukaryota; Metazoa; Chordata; Mammalia; Primates; Cercopithecidae
Source: RefSeq, a predicted model, not a curated record